This 429-nucleotide ribosomal RNA is filed under the name Chloroflexota bacterium. Its description in RNAcentral is "Chloroflexi bacterium partial 16S ribosomal RNA". It matches the Rfam family "Bacterial small subunit ribosomal RNA", at positions 355 to 776 of the family's 1533-position model. The record is from RNAcentral. Lineage: Bacteria; Bacillati; Chloroflexota.
UGGGGAAUAUUGCACAAUGGGCGCAAGCCUGAUGCAGCCAUGCCGCGUGUAUGAAGAAGGCCUUCGGGUUGUAAAGUACUUUCAGCGGGGAGGAAGGGAGUAAAGUUAAUACCUUUGCUCAUUGACGUUACCCGCAGAAGAAGCACCGGCUAACUCCGUGCCAGCAGCCGCGGUAAUACGGAGGGUGCAAGCGUUAAUCGGAAUUACUGGGCGUAAAGCGCACGCAGGCGGGUUGUUAAGUCAGAUGUGAAAUCCCCGGGCUCAACCUGGGAACUGCAUCUGAUACUGGCAAGCUUGAGUCUCGUAGAGGGGGGUAGAAUUCCAGGUGUAGCGAUGAAAUGCGUAGAGAUCUGGAGGAAUACCGGUGGCGAAGGCGGCCCCCUGGACGAAGACUGACGCUCAGGUGCGAAAGCGUGGGGAGCAAACAGG